AUGUUUAUACAUAUAUGAUAACAAGAUUUGAUUACCUAAAAUGUACUUUAGCGUUGCAGUCCCGUUGUUGCUCUAGAUCUCAGUUUUGCUUGAAAGAUGACUGUUCAUCAUGCAUUUUGCAGCUCUCUUCCCUGGUUGAUCCAACCCUAAUAUAGUGAAAACUUACAAGCGUUAUGUAUAGUUUAUUGAGAAUUUGCUAUUUUUUUACUAUUUAAUAAACUCUGGGAACUGGCAAGAAAUUAAACACAAACUGUACAGAUCCCUUAGACAAUGCCACUUGGACGGCCAAAUAAUUUGAUCUAAUAGCUUCCUUUAUAUGCACGGAUAGUUUAAUGAAUAUUUUGCUCACCCAAAUGGUGGAAAAUGUUUUCAACAACUUCACAUGACCUUGAGGAGUCAAACAUUAAUAUGAUAAUCAACUAAAUGAUAAGGAAAAUUUAUCAAAUCCUUGAAAUCAGCCACGCAUCGUGCUAGUCAACUCCAGCCACAGCUAUAUAUGAGGACCUUUUUUGUUCCCUUCCGCCCUUCGGCCGUGUUAGAUAUAUUGAGUCAUACACAGAUCUGUAUAUUAGCGUUAUAAAGCUUCUUUACAAGCGGACAUCCGCAUCGGGGCAUACAUUUCUCUCUUCUUAUAUAGGGAGAUUGUUAGUUUCCCUCUAUUAAAAUCAAUAUGUAUCACUUACCAUUGCGGCUAAGAAUAAUCAUAUAUACAUAUAUAAGAUAAUUCUUAAGUUCGAUGUCUGCAUUCAUCAUUGUACACAGGCAAACUUCUUUAGAAUACAGGGUAAUUUUACACGAAGGGAUCCCUUUGGUCAAAUAAUUUUGCAAUGAAGUAAGAGUGCACGCAUGUGAGGCUUUGCACAUGAUUUUCUGCAUCGACGACUGAAAUCAAUUAAUUUUCGUUGAGAACGUUAUCGAUCAAAGGCACUCUUUAUCCAUGUGCAUCUGGUCGAACGUGAAGUUCUAGAUAUCGGGUAAGCCUGCUCGAUUUCUGCAUCUACUUAAAUUAAAUAAAUUUGUUUCGGUCACUGUGAAGCUUUUUCUUUUUAUUUUCUUUAUCCACAAAUACUUAUAUAUGAAAAAAUAUAUAUUCAUAUUUUUCGAAACUUAAUGGAAUAAGAUAGCUAAACCGAAUUGAUAGGAUAGAUAAACAUUAAAUAUCAUUCUAAUAUCAGACUAAAUCAACGUAAUUAAGUUACACAUUAGAUUUUGUUCUAAUAUAAAUGACUCAAUAAGAUUUUAAUAACGCAUUAAGCGAGUUUAAAUGAUGUUCUAAUUCAAAUGACUUUACAAGAAUAAUUUCAAUAAAUAAUUCCAAAGAAAUUAUAAAAAAAGCAUAUUUUUUUUAUUAAUCAAAGUUUUUUGAGAAAAUAACAAGACCUCCCUAUUUAAAGUAGAGCUAAUCUCCUACCCUAAUUUAACUUAAAAAGGAAACUAAAUCAUAAUUAUAUCAGAAAUAAGAAUUAAAAUACAUACUACAAUAGACUUUAAUUAAAAAUAAAAAAAUCAAAUGACCUAAAAUGAUAAAAUUUUAAAAUCCUAAAAUAAUGUACUAAAUCAAAAUUAAAUAUUAAUUCCGUUGAAAUCACGUAGGAUCACAAAGUAGCCUACUGCAAAGUUAAUCUAGUUAGUGCUUGAGCAGCUACGCUAGAAGAAAAACUCACAUAAUGAAAAUCAGAAGGUUGCACCCACUGCAGCAUCUCUAAUUAGCCAAUAAAUCUCCUUUCGAGUACUAUUGUUGAAGUAACCAACCUUACUACAUUCUGCCUAUUAGACUCAAUGAAAGCAAAAGUUUUUGAGCUCCCAUAAUGUCUUCAACUAGCAUUCUCAAGUUGGGAAUACAAACCCCACAUUUCGCCAAUGCCUUAGUGGACUGUGAAGCUUAAAAUGCUAAGAAUCACGUAUAAUAUGUAUUGUAAAGAGUAUGACCAAAAGAUUUUAUUAAUUUUAUUCUUUAAA
This 1959-nucleotide long non-coding RNA is filed under the name Citrus x clementina. Its description in RNAcentral is "Citrus clementina (C. clementina) long non-coding RNA (CCLE_LNC000547)". Lineage: Eukaryota; Viridiplantae; Streptophyta; Magnoliopsida; Sapindales; Rutaceae. The record is from RNAcentral.